Molecule: transfer RNA, 75 nt
Filed under: Streptococcus infantarius subsp. infantarius
Lineage: Bacteria; Bacillati; Bacillota; Bacilli; Lactobacillales; Streptococcaceae
Description: tRNA-Lys
Rfam family: tRNA
About the family: Transfer RNA (tRNA) molecules are approximately 80 nucleotides in length.
Source: RNAcentral
UAGGAACAUAGCUCAGAUGGUAGAGCAACUGACUUUUAAUCAGAGGGUCACUGGUUCGAGCCCAGUUGUUCCUGU